CCUACGGGUGGCAGCAGUGAGGAAUAUUGGUCAAUGGGCGCGAGCCUGAACCAGCCAAGUCGCGUGAGGGAUGACGGUCCUACGGAUUGUAAACCUCUUUUGCCGGGGAGCAAGCGUGCGUUCGUGAACGCGCGUCGAGAGUACCCGGAGAAAAAGCAUCGGCUAACUCCGUGCCAGCAGCCGCGGUAAUACGGAGGAUGCGAGCGUUAUCCGGAUUGAUUGGGUUUAAAGGGUGCGUAGGCGGGAUGCCAAGUCAGCGGUAAAAGGGCGGUGCUCACCGCCGUCGAGCCGUUGAAACUGGCGUUCUUGAGUGGGCGAGAAGUAUGCAGAAUGCGGGGUGUAGCGGUGAAAUGCAUAGAUAUCACGCAGAACUCCGAUUGCGAAGGCAGCAUACCGGCGCCCUACUGACGCGGAGGCACGAAAGCGUGGGUAUCGAACAGGAUUAGAUACCCCUGUAGUC
RNAcentral lists this ribosomal RNA (460 nucleotides) under uncultured bacterium. RNAcentral describes it as "partial 16S ribosomal RNA". It matches the Rfam family "Bacterial small subunit ribosomal RNA", at positions 338 to 795 of the family's 1533-position model. The record is from RNAcentral.